This 299-nucleotide signal recognition particle RNA is filed under the name Cebus imitator (Panamanian white-faced capuchin). RNAcentral's name for it is "Metazoan signal recognition particle RNA (ENSCCAG00000006597.1)". It matches the Rfam family "Metazoan signal recognition particle RNA". From Rfam's summary of the family: The signal recognition particle (SRP) is a universally conserved ribonucleoprotein. The record is from RNAcentral. Lineage: Eukaryota; Metazoa; Chordata; Mammalia; Primates; Cebidae.
GCCAGGUGCAGUGCCGCGUUCCCGUAGUCCCAGCUACUCAGGAGGCUGAGGCGGGAGGAUCACCUGAGUCCAGGGGUUCUGGGCUGUAGUGCACUAUGCCGAUCAGAUGUCCGCACUAAGUUUGGCAUCAAUAUGGUGACCUCCCGGCAGCGGGGAACCACCAGGUUGCCUAAGGAGGGGUGAACCAGCCCAGGUCAGAAAUGGAGCAGGUCAAAACUCCCGUGCUGAUCAGUAGUGGGAUCACGCCUGUGAAUAGCCACUGCACUCCAGCCUGGGCAACAGAGUAAGACCCCGUCUCU